Molecule: ribosomal RNA, 334 nt
Filed under: uncultured Lactarius
Lineage: Eukaryota; Fungi; Basidiomycota; Agaricomycetes; Russulales; Russulaceae
Description: eukaryotic LSU rRNA
Rfam family: Eukaryotic large subunit ribosomal RNA
Source: RNAcentral
UUGACCUCAAAUCGGGUGAGACUACCCGCUGAACUUAAGCAUAUCAAUAAGCGGAGGAAAAGAAACUAACAAGGAUUCCCCUAGUAACUGCGAGUGAAGCGGGAAAAGCUCAAAUUUAAAAUCUGGCGGUCUUUGGCUGUCCGAGUUGUAAUUUAGAGAAGCGUCUUCCGCGCCGGACCGUGCACAAGUCUCCUGGAAUGGAGCGUCAUAGAGGGUGAGAAUCCCGUCUUUGGCACGGAUGCCUGGUGCUUUUGUGAUGCGCUCUCAAAGAGUCGAGUUGUUUGGGAAUGCAGCUCAAAAUGGGUGGUGAACUCCAUCUAAAGCUAAAUAUUGG